GGGGGUGACAGGUUUCGACCGGGGGCCAAGGGUGGUGCGAGAGGGAAAAGGCCCGCUAGUAGAUGCCCUCGAUGACCAGCACCGCAACCCUCGGGACCGGGGUUCGAGUCCCCGCACCUCCACCU
Molecule: transfer-messenger RNA, 125 nt
Filed under: Chloroflexota bacterium
Lineage: Bacteria; Bacillati; Chloroflexota
Description: Chloroflexi bacterium (cold seep metagenome) transfer-messenger RNA
Rfam family: transfer-messenger RNA
About the family: Bacterial tmRNA, also known as 10Sa RNA or SsrA, is named for its dual tRNA and mRNA-like properties. Its role is to liberate the mRNA from a stalled ribosome.
Source: RNAcentral